Molecule: ribosomal RNA, 253 nt
Filed under: uncultured bacterium
Lineage: Bacteria
Description: partial 16S ribosomal RNA
Rfam family: Bacterial small subunit ribosomal RNA
Source: RNAcentral
UACAGAGGGUGCGAGCGUUAAUCGGAUUUACUGGGCGUAAAGGGCGCGUAGGCGGUGAGAUGUGUGUGAUGUGAAAGCCCCGGGCUCAACCUGGGAAGUGCAUUGCAAACUGUCUGACUGGAGUAUAUGAGAGGGUGGCGGAAUUUCCGGUGUAGCGGUGAAAUGCGUAGAUAUCGGAAGGAACGUCAAUGGCGAAGGCAGCCACCUGGCAUAAUACUGACGCUGAGGCGCGAAAGCGUGGGGAUCAAACAGG